This 300-nucleotide unclassified non-coding RNA is filed under the name uncultured fungus. Its description in RNAcentral is "partial contains small subunit ribosomal RNA, internal transcribed spacer 1, and 5.8S ribosomal RNA". The stretch from base 1 to 73 matches the Rfam family "Eukaryotic small subunit ribosomal RNA", at positions 1759 to 1831 of the family's 1831-position model. The record is from RNAcentral. Lineage: Eukaryota; Fungi.
UCAAACUUGGUCAUUUAGAGGAAGUAAAAGUCGUAACAAGGUUUCCGUAGGUGAACCUGCGGAAGGAUCAUUACUGAGUGAGGGUCGUCACGGCCCGAUCUCCAACCCUUUGUAAACCACACCUGUGUUGCUUCGGUGGGACGGUUCUCACGAGCCGCCGGGGGCAUCUGCCCCGGGAGCGUGCCCACCGCGAGCCGUCACAAAUACUGAUACCACUGUGUCUGAAUUUUUUGAUACCAAUCAAAAAGCAAAACUUUCAACAACGGAUCUCUUGGUUCUGGCAUCGAUGAAGAACGCAGC